This 309-nucleotide ribosomal RNA is filed under the name Triticum aestivum (bread wheat). RNAcentral describes it as "partial small subunit ribosomal RNA". The record is from RNAcentral. Lineage: Eukaryota; Viridiplantae; Streptophyta; Magnoliopsida; Poales; Poaceae.
AUGCCUACAAAUAUCUGUGUGUGGACAUUUGUGGCCUUUGUAAGUCUGGAGGAAAAAAUAUAUACAUUUUGUGAGGGUUUAUGUGUUUUACCUACCCUUUUCCAUUGUACCAGUGUGCGCGAUUUUGCAAUCUGUUUGUGCUUGGGUGCCACUAGUGAAGGGCAGUUUGCAUUGCAAAAUCAGAUCCCUCUCUUUGGGCAAAAUGUGUGGCAACUUGUUGCAAGAUGGUCCGUUGGUUUCACAAUAUAUAUGCCCCGUCUGAUAUCAAGGGAGGCACAAAAUUUGCUGCCGCUGAAGAGUGGAACAUGA